GACGAACGCUGGCGGCGUGCCUAAUACAUGCAAGUUGAGCGAUGAAGAUUGGUGCUUGCACCAAUUUGAAGAGCAGCGAACGGGUGAGUAACGCGUGGGGAAUCUGCCUUUGAGCGGGGGACAACAUUUGGAAACGAAUGCUAAUACCGCAUAACAACUUUAAACAUAAGUUUUAAGUUUGAAAGAUGCAAUUGCAUCACUCAAAGAUGAUCCCGCGUUGUAUUAGCUAGUUGGUGAGGUAAAGGCUCACCAAGGCGAUGAUACAUAGCCGACCUGAGAGGGUGAUCGGCCACAUUUGGACUGAGACACGGCCCAAACUCCUACGGGAGGCAGCAGUAAGGAAUCUUCGGCAAGGGACGAAAGUCUGACCGAGCGACGCCGCGUGAGUGAAGAAGGUUUUCGGAUCGUAAAACUCUGUUGGUAGAGAAGAACGUUGGUGAGAGUGGAAAGCUCAUCAAGUGACGGUAACUACCCAGAAAGGGACGGCUAACUACGUG
RNAcentral lists this ribosomal RNA (497 nucleotides) under uncultured bacterium. RNAcentral describes it as "partial 16S ribosomal RNA". It matches the Rfam family "Bacterial small subunit ribosomal RNA", at positions 28 to 507 of the family's 1533-position model. The record is from RNAcentral.